GACGAACGCUGGCGGCGUGCCUAAUACAUGCAAGUCGAACGCUCUUUCUUUCACCGGAGCUUGCUCCACCGAAAGAAAAAGAGUGGCGAACGGGUGAGUAACACGUGGGUAACCUGCCCAUCAGAAGGGGAUAACACUUGGAAACAGGUGCUAAUACCGUAUAACACUAUUUUCCGCAUGGAAGAAAGUUGAAAGGCGCUUUUGCGUCACUGAUGGAUGGACCCGCGGUGCAUUAGCUAGUUGGUGAGGUAACGGCUCACCAAGGCAACGAUGCAUAGCCGACCUGAGAGGGUGAUCGGCCACACUGGGACUGAGACACGGCCCAGACUCCUACGGGAGGCAGCAGUAGGGAAUCUUCGGCAAUGGACGAAAGUCUGACCGUGCAACGCCGCGUGAGUGAAGAAGGUUUUCGGAUCGUAAAACUCUGUUGUUAGAGAAGAACAAGGAUGAGAGUAAAACGUUCAUCCCUUGACGGUAUCUAACCAGAAAGCCACGGCUAACUACGUGCCAGCCGCCGCAGUAA
RNAcentral lists this ribosomal RNA (523 nucleotides) under uncultured bacterium. RNAcentral describes it as "partial 16S ribosomal RNA". It matches the Rfam family "Bacterial small subunit ribosomal RNA", at positions 28 to 523 of the family's 1533-position model. The record is from RNAcentral.